GGAAGAAACAGGCGAGAGGGAGAUAAGUGCCAGCAGCACCCUUGCCAGGUUGGGCGAGCGUCAUGGCCAUGGGCCCAACGGUCAUUACUAUUGAGGAGGUGCGGGCGCUAGAGAGCAAGGAGGAGCAGGAGGAGUCCAUCUUGGCCCUGCUGGGAAUCGUUGGCACCUUCCUUAACCUCUUCGUCAUUGUCUUUGUUUACAUCUACACCGUUGUGUGAGCCAAGCCAGAGUGGGAGUGAUCCCCCAAACGACAAGGCACAAACCAAGCUUCCAUCUAACCCCAACAAACGUAUACUGGAUUGUACAUGCCAAGCUCCUCCUCCCUCUAACUAGGUAUUAGUUAUAAAAAAGGUGCAAACGACAAGAUAUUAAAACAGGAGGGGGGAGCAGUUUCCUCACACAGAGAUUGAGGGUGGACAGUUCCGUGGGAGGUGGCGUCUCACAGCCAUGAACCAGAGAGAUAAUAGUGAGCUGGUGGAGACAUCAGGACCAUGGCUGUGCUGGAUCCAGGAGGGGGCGAUAGACAGGGUUGGGCUGCAGGCCAGCACAGCCUGGGGGGAACUAACUUCACCUUGGACUCAUUAGAAUGAGGGAAACGGACAGUGUUACCGACCAAUCUCCUUUGUCAAGUGGAUAAAAAAAACAGACAAAGGGAUAUUGACGUCACUGGUCCGGAUGGUUUCAGGGCCAUGGCGUGGCGCUGUAAUGUACUGUGCUGCUUGCCGUCAGAUAGGCUAUACACACACACCAAAGUGUUAGUCACCGCUUCUCAUGAUAUGGAGACAUCACAACAGAGAGAUACACCAUCUCUGUCUAUUUCGUCUCCACAAGAACUGAUCUGCAAAGAGAGCAGAAGGAGUGGAAAUGACAAUUUCACAUUUAAAUUCAAAUCGACCACCUGGAGAUCUGCAAUAAAAAGGCAAGUGGAGAGAGAGGUAUUUUUUUUAUAAAAAGGAGAGUCUGCUGUGGUGAUUAAAUCAUCCGCAGGGGUGGAAAGUAACUUGUGGGCACUGGCAAAAAGCUCCAUUCUGCAUUUACUAAUACAUAAGGCCAGACUUAAUCUUCUCUCUCUUUCUGCAUCUCUUUCCACGUUCUGUUCGGUUAUUUUGAUGUAGGCUAUUUGUUCAUGUUGAUUUCAGGGUAGUGUCAGCGAUCCAGUUUCUGUAUAAAGAUCUAAGCUUUUAUAAACACAUGAAUAAACUAAACUCUAGAUGUACUGUGCAAUAGGGAACAUUUUUACAAUAAAAUGAGAAUAUAUGAAUUAGA
RNAcentral lists this long non-coding RNA (1266 nucleotides) under Salmo salar (Atlantic salmon). RNAcentral's name for it is "lncRNA (ENSSSAG00000117965.1)". The record is from RNAcentral. Lineage: Eukaryota; Metazoa; Chordata; Actinopteri; Salmoniformes; Salmonidae.